GACGAACGCUGGCGGCGUGCUUAACACAUGCAAGUCGAGCGGUAAGGCCCUUUCGGGGGUACACGAGCGGCGAACGGGUGAGUAACACGUGGGUGACCUGCCCUCAGCUCUGGGAUAAGCCUGGGAAACCGGGUUCUAAUACUGGAUAUGACUCCAUGACGCAUGUUGUGGGGUGGAAAGCCUUGUGCGGCUGAGGAUGGGCCCGCGGCCUAUCAGCUUGUUGGUGGGGUGANGGCCUACCAAGGCGACGACGGGUAGCCGGCCUGAGAGGGCGACCGGCCACACUGGGACUGAGACACGGCCCAGACUCCUACGGGAGGCAGCAGUGGGGAAUCUUGCGCAAUGGGCGAAAGCCUGACGCAGCGACGCCGCGUGAGGGAUGACGGCCUGGU
RNAcentral lists this ribosomal RNA (392 nucleotides) under uncultured bacterium. RNAcentral describes it as "bacterial SSU rRNA". It matches the Rfam family "Bacterial small subunit ribosomal RNA", at positions 28 to 420 of the family's 1533-position model. The record is from RNAcentral.